RNAcentral lists this ribosomal RNA (375 nucleotides) under Triticum aestivum (bread wheat). RNAcentral's name for it is "partial small subunit ribosomal RNA". Lineage: Eukaryota; Viridiplantae; Streptophyta; Magnoliopsida; Poales; Poaceae. The record is from RNAcentral.
AUGGCAAGGCUCGGCGUGGCCUUGCUCGCGCUCCUGGCGGCCGCCGCGGCGGUCGCCUGCCUGCCGUCCCCGGCCUCCGCGGGCGAGCUGGCCUCCAUGCUGCUGUCGCGCGCGGCGGCCUGCGACGGGGUCAUCGGGGAGUGCGGCGUGGACGAGGACGAGGAGAUGGUGACGGGCGCCGGUGAGGCCCUGCGCCGGUCGCUGGUGCGGAAGUCGACGGCCAGGUACAUCAGCUACGCGGCGCUGCGCGCCGACCAGAUCCCCUGCGACAAGCGCGGGGCGUCCUACUACAUCAACUGCGGGUCCAUGCAGCAGGCCAACCCCUACACGCGCGGCUGCUCCGCCAUCACGCACUGCGCGCGCAACAUGAACUGA